GUGAAUCAUCGAAUCUUUGAACGCACAUUGCGCCCUUCGGUAUUCCGUUGGGCAUGCCUGUUCGAGCGUCAUUAGAAACUUCAAGCUCAGCUUGGUGUUGGGUGCUUGUCCCCCCUAGCGGCGGACUCACCUCAAAUGCAUUGGCGGCCGGUAUGUUGGCUACAGCGCAGUACAACGCGUCUGGCGUCUUGAUAUACUGGUCCUCCAGAAGCCCCUUCUUUGACUUGACCUCGGAUCAGGUAGGGAUACCCGCUGAACUUAAGCAUAUCAAUAAGCGGAGGA
This 282-nucleotide unclassified non-coding RNA is filed under the name Pleosporales sp. RNAcentral's name for it is "partial contains 5.8S ribosomal RNA, internal transcribed spacer 2, and large subunit ribosomal RNA". The stretch from base 1 to 71 matches the Rfam family "5.8S ribosomal RNA", at positions 84 to 154 of the family's 154-position model. Lineage: Eukaryota; Fungi; Ascomycota; Dothideomycetes; Pleosporales. The record is from RNAcentral.